CAUGCAAGUCGAACGGAAAGGCCUCUUUGGGGGUGCUCGAGUGGCGAACGGGUGAGUAACACGUGGGUGAUCUGCCCUGCACUUUGGGAUAAGCCUGGGAAACUGGGUCUAAUACCGGAUAGGAUUACGAAUCGCAUGGUUUGUGGUGGAAAGCUUUUGCGGUGUGGGAUGGGCCCGCGGCCUAUCAGCUUGUUGGUGGGGUGAUGGCCUACCAAGGCGACGACGGGUAGCCGGCCUGAGAGGGUGUCCGGCCACACUGGGACUGAGAUACGGCCCAGACUCCUACGGGAGGCAGCAGUGGGGAAUAUUGCACAAUGGGCGCAAGCCUGAUGCAGCGACGCCGCGUGAGGGAUGACGGCCUUCGGGUUGUAAACCUCUUCCAACGCCGACGAAGCGGAAGUGACGGUAGGCGGAGAAGAAGCACCGGCCAACUACGUGCCAGCAGCCGCGGUAAUACGUAGGGUGCGAGCGUUGUCCGGAAUUACUGGGCGUAAAGAGCUCGUAGGUGGUUUGUCGCGUUGUUCGUGAAAACUCACA
Molecule: ribosomal RNA, 537 nt
Filed under: uncultured Mycobacterium sp.
Lineage: Bacteria; Bacillati; Actinomycetota; Actinomycetes; Mycobacteriales; Mycobacteriaceae
Description: bacterial SSU rRNA
Rfam family: Bacterial small subunit ribosomal RNA
Source: RNAcentral